This 1432-nucleotide ribosomal RNA is filed under the name uncultured organism. Its description in RNAcentral is "SSU rRNA". It matches the Rfam family "Bacterial small subunit ribosomal RNA". The record is from RNAcentral.
UUGCGACAGGCUUAACACAUGCAAGUCGAGGGGCAGCACAGGUAGCAAUACCGGGUGGCGACCGGCGCACGGGUGAGUAACGCGUAUGCAACUUGCCUAUCAGAGGGGGAUAACCCGGCGAAAGUCGGACUAAUACCGCAUGAAGCAGGGGCCCCGCAUGGGGAUAUUUGCUAAAGAUUCAUCGCUGAUAGAUAGGCAUGCGUUCCAUUAGGCAGUUGGCGGGGUAACGGCCCACCAAACCGACGAUGGAUAGGGGUUCUGAGAGGAAGGUCCCCCACAUUGGUACUGAGACACGGACCAAACUCCUACGGGAGGCAGCAGUGAGGAAUAUUGGUCAAUGGGCGUAAGCCUGAACCAGCCAAGUCGCGUGAGGGAUGAAGGUUCUAUGGAUCGUAAACCUCUUUUAUAAGGGAAUAAAGUGCGGGACGUGUCCCGUUUUGUAUGUACCUUAUGAAUAAGGAUCGGCUAACUCCGUGCCAGCAGCCGCGGUAAUACGGAGGAUCCGAGCGUUAUCCGGAUUUAUUGGGUUUAAAGGGUGCGUAGGCGGCCUUUUAAGUCAGCGGUGAAAGUCUGUGGCUCAACCAUAGAAUUGCCGUUGAAACUGGGAGGCUUGGGUAUGUUUGAGGCAGGCGGAAUGCGUGGUGUAGCGGUGAAAUGCUUAGAUAUCACGCAGAACCCCGAUUGCGAAGGCAGCCUGCCAAGCCAUUACUGACGCUGAUGCACGAAAGCGUGGGGAUCAAACAGGAUUAGAUACCCUGGUAGUCCACGCAGUAAACGAUGAUCACUAGCUGUUUGCGAUACACUGUAAGCGGCACAGCGAAAGCGUUAAGUGAUCCACCUGGGGAGUACGCCGGCAACGGUGAAACUCAAAGGAAUUGACGGGGGCCCGCACAAGCGGAGGAACAUGUGGUUUAAUUCGAUGAUACGCGAGGAACCUUACCCGGGUUUGAACGCAUUUUGACAGCUCUGGAAACAGAGCCUCUAGCAAUAGCGAUUUGCGAGGUGCUGCAUGGUUGUCGUCAGCUCGUGCCGUGAGGUGUCGGCUUAAGUGCCAUAACGAGCGCAACCCUUGCCACUAGUUACUAACAGGUAAAGCUGAGGACUCUGGUGGGACUGCCAGCGUAAGCUGCGAGGAAGGCGGGGAUGACGUCAAAUCAGCACGGCCCUUACAUCCGGGGCGACACACGUGUUACAAUGGCGUGGACAAAGGGAGGCCACCUGGCGACAGGGAGCGAAUCCCCAAACCACGUCUCAGUUCGGAUCGGAGUCUGCAACCCGACUCCGUGAAGCUGGAUUCGCUAGUAAUCGCGCAUCAGCCAUGGCGCGGUGAAUACGUUCCCGGGCCUUGUACACACCGCCCGUCAAGCCAUGGGAGCCGGGGGUACCUGAAGUCCGUAACCGAAAGGAUCGGCCUAGGGUAAAACUGGUGACU